UACGGAGGAUGCAAGCGUUAUCCGGAAUGAUUGGGCGUAAAGCGUCCGCAGGUGGCUGUGUAAGUCUGCUGUUAAAUAGUGAGGCUCAACCUCAUAAAGGCAGUGGAAACUACACGGCUAGAGUGCGUUCGGGGCAGAGGGAAUUCCUGGUGUAGCGGUGAAAUGCGUAGAGAUCAGGAAGAACACCGGUGGCGAAGGCGGCAUCCUGGACCAAUACUGACGCUGAGUGAGCGAAAGCCAGGGGAGCAAACGGG
RNAcentral lists this ribosomal RNA (254 nucleotides) under uncultured bacterium. RNAcentral describes it as "partial 16S ribosomal RNA". It matches the Rfam family "Bacterial small subunit ribosomal RNA", at positions 524 to 776 of the family's 1533-position model. The record is from RNAcentral.